Molecule: long non-coding RNA, 937 nt
Organism: Brassica napus (rape)
Lineage: Eukaryota; Viridiplantae; Streptophyta; Magnoliopsida; Brassicales; Brassicaceae
Exons: 2
Source: RefSeq, a predicted model, not a curated record
AUUAAACAUUAUUAUUUGCGGUAUUGAAUCUUUUUUUUUCUCAGCCGCACAAAACAACAUCUCCUAUGCUCGCCGUUAUGCUUUUCUUCUCCACACAAAACCUAGAUCCUCUGUAACCGUUUCUUCUUGAUGUUUUCUAAAAUCUCAAAAUUUUGCUAAAGCCUUGUGAUCCUUGUCUGUCUUCCUUCAAUCAUAAAAUCCCCUUUUCACUUUCCAGGUCAACCUCCGUUUUGCCUCCUUCACUACUCUUUAAACUCUAUUCCAGCCAUCUCGUUCUCUUUGCUUCCUUCACUGUGAUAUGCUCCUUCCCGCUGACUACCCACAGUGGUUCAUCAAAAAGUUGUUGUAUCUUCUGAUUUUGAGGUGGAGGAAUAACGUCAUGCUCGUUGAGGAAGUGUUGAGAGAUGUGAGCAAACUCUGAAGAUGAUGCUAGAGGGAUGAAUCCUUUUUUUUAUAUAUAGGUGAGGAUGACCGCCCGAAUGAAUGCUGGGAGGUGAAGAACAGAGACCGACAUGAACAGAGACGGCUUGAAGAUUACUGUCAAAGACGGGCCUAGCUUUUGGUUGGAUAACGGCCCAAAGAGCAUUAUCCAUUCCUUACAAAUUAGAAUGUCUCUGGAAGUCCAUUUUUUAAAAACACAGUAAAAUAGAUGCAAUAAAGAACACGCGAAAACAGUGAGUUUGGUAAGCUGGGACAGGUGUCACGCUUAUAAAGCUCGAAUUUUUGAGCUGGGUGCUGAAGUGGCGAGAGAUAACUCUACUUUAUAUAAUAAGAUAUAACUCUAUUGUAAUACUCAUUUAUAUACAUAUAUACAUAUUGUUUUACCAGGUAAAAAUUUAAUAUUUGUUAUUAAUGAUAUAGAAAAUUCUAUAAAGAUAUAGUUUGUUCAUUUGAAAUUAUAUAUGCAUACAUAUAUAUAUGUAUAUCUUUUUGAUAA